GACGAACGCUGGCGGCGUGGAUUAGGCAUGCAAGUCGGACGGUAGGGCUUUAUCGUAAGAUAGAGUUUGAGAGUGGCGAACGGGUGAGUAACACGUAGGAAUCUACCCUUAAGACGGGGACAACCCAGGGAAACUUGGGCUAAUACCGGAUGAGAGUGCGAGAGAUUGCAUUUAAAAGGAUGGCGAAAGUUGUCGCUUAGGGAUGAGCCUGCGGUCUAUUAGUUAGUUGGUGAGGUAAGAGCUCACCAAGGCGAUGAUAGAUAGGCGGCCUUAACGGGUGGUCGCCCACACUGGGAUUGAGAUACGGCCCAGACCUCCUACGGGAGGCAGCAGUCGAGAAUAGUCUACAAUGGACGGAAGUCUGAUAGUGCGACGCCGCGUGAACGAAGAAUCCCUUCGGGGUGUAAAGUUCUUUUAUACGUGAGCAGUGUCCUUUAUAUUAAUAGUAUAAGGGGAGAGAUAUUAGCGUAUGAAUAAGCAACGGCUAACUCCGUGCCAGCAGCCGCGGUAAACACG
This 516-nucleotide ribosomal RNA is filed under the name uncultured bacterium. Its description in RNAcentral is "bacterial SSU rRNA". It matches the Rfam family "Bacterial small subunit ribosomal RNA", at positions 28 to 527 of the family's 1533-position model. The record is from RNAcentral.